UACGUAGGGUGCGAGCGUUGUCCGGAAUUAUUGGGCGUAAAGAGCUCGUAGGCGGUUUGUCGCGUCUGCUGUGAAAGACCGGGGCUCAACUCCGGUUCUGCAGUGGGUACGGGCAGACUAGAGUGAUGUAGGGGAGACUGGAAUUCCUGGUGUAGCGGUGAAAUGCGCAGAUAUCAGGAGGAACCACCGAUGGCGAAGGCAGGUCUCUGGGCAUUAACUGACGCUGAGGAGCGAAAGCAUGGGGAGCGAACAGG
Molecule: ribosomal RNA, 254 nt
Filed under: uncultured bacterium
Lineage: Bacteria
Description: partial 16S ribosomal RNA
Rfam family: Bacterial small subunit ribosomal RNA
Source: RNAcentral